CGCCCUUCCAGAGGGGGACAACAGUUGGAAACGACUGCUAAUACCGCAUACGAUCCAACUUCGGCAUCGAGGAUGGAUGAAAGGUGGCCUCUAUUUAUAAGCUAUCACUGAAGGAGGGGAUUGCGUCUGAUUAGCUAGUUGGAGGGGUAACGGCCCACCAAGGCAAUGAUCAGUAGCCGGUCUGAGAGGAUGAACGGCCACAUUGGGACUGAGACACGGCCCAG
RNAcentral lists this ribosomal RNA (224 nucleotides) under uncultured bacterium. Its description in RNAcentral is "partial 16S ribosomal RNA". It matches the Rfam family "Bacterial small subunit ribosomal RNA", at positions 126 to 334 of the family's 1533-position model. The record is from RNAcentral.